ACACUCAAGUUUCACCUCAGUACGUAUAAAUCUUUCGCCUUUUACUAAAGAUUUCCGUGGGGAGGAAUAAAAUGAGUAUAAGUUAAUUUUUUGUUGCCCUACUCAAACUUAGGGCU
Molecule: small nuclear RNA, 116 nt
Organism: Paramisgurnus dabryanus
Lineage: Eukaryota; Metazoa; Chordata; Actinopteri; Cypriniformes; Cobitidae
Product: U5 spliceosomal RNA
Source: RefSeq, a predicted model, not a curated record